CCAUAAAAUGGAAUUUUUUAGCUGAUAUUACAAAUUCAUACAGUACUUUUGAUGGCUAAGCAUGAUGAGAGUUGCAGUUCAAAACGCUGCACCUUCCCAUUUUUUUGUAUGAUUUUUACAUGCAAGUGCCGGAAUAAUCACUGCAUGUAGGCAUUAGAUUUUCCACGCGCUACAUGGCACGACAAUAAAAGUCUCCAACUGUGUAACCAAAAUAUUGUUAUACACUGUUCAUGGCAAGGAGUUUUCUUCAAGAGAAAUAUUUAUCUUAAAAAAAAAAAGGUAUUAGAGGGCUUCCUCAGACUAUGAAAUUAACGGUUUGCCAACUGUGGGAUAAUGCAUUCAGAGUUCUCCAGCCUGUAGUUUUAUUUUAACAUCUUAAGGACGGAGCCAAUUGUACAAGUUCUGAUCAAAACAAAACCUGGAAUUUGAGCUAUAUUCUGUUCAACCAUAAUUUACCUCUUUCAUAUUAAGUGCACCAAACACAUAUAUAAUUGUAAUACGAAUAAAAUCUAAAAAUUUGUGAGAAAUUAACAAAUGCUAUUGUUUUAGUUCACCAUGGCAUUUUACCCUGCAGGCUUUUUAAAUACAUUACUGCAUAGGAACUCCUCUAGCGGCAGUUACUCAGAUGGCCACUAGAUAUGCUCCCUGGACCCAUUCUGCACAUGUUCAGCAUCUCCAUGCUCUACAUGGAGGUGCUGAACAUUUCUCAUAAAGAUGCAUUGAUUUAAAUUUGAUGAUCUCAGUCAAGGAGGCGAGGAGACUUUGGUGGUGCUGUUAAUAAGGUGAGUAAAGGCAGGACAGGGGUUUGGGGCCUAAG
Pelobates cultripes (western spadefoot toad) is the source of this 817-nucleotide non-coding RNA. The record is from the annotation of a GenBank genome assembly. Lineage: Eukaryota; Metazoa; Chordata; Amphibia; Anura; Pelobatidae.